Molecule: ribosomal RNA, 253 nt
Filed under: uncultured bacterium
Lineage: Bacteria
Description: partial 16S ribosomal RNA
Rfam family: Bacterial small subunit ribosomal RNA
Source: RNAcentral
GACAGAGGUCCCGAGCGUUAGACGGAAUCACUGGGCUUAAAGCGUGUGUAGGCGGAAGGGUAAGUACCUUGUGAAAUCCCACGGCUCAACCGUGGAACUGCUUGGCAUACUGGCGGUCUUGAGCAACCUAGGGGCGAGCGGAACAAAUGGUGGAGCGGUGAAAUGCGUAGAUAUCAUUUGGAACGCCAAUGGUGAAAACAGCUCGCUGGGGGUUUGCUGACGCUGAGACACGAAAGCCAGGGGAGCAAACGGG